GGUAGCAGUGUUGGGUAUCAAACCUUGAGAAUUUAACUCUAGAAAAAGCUGAUGAGCAAUGUGAGGCAUCCUUUUUCUAACUAAGGUUCGAACCAAUGAAGCACAAUCUACCAAGUUUCUCUCCUAAGGAUACGUCCUUCUCUCUCCCGUCACAAGAUGAUCUUCAAGAUAAAUCCCACAACCAAGUAAACCGAGCAAAGAGACAAAAUCAAUUAAAUGGAAGUUAAAAGCGCAGUAACUCUUGACAAUGAAGAGGACAAAUUUCGACAUUACCUCCGGGAAAAAGGUUGGUUAUUGUUGAA
This 302-nucleotide long non-coding RNA is filed under the name Gossypium barbadense (sea-island cotton). RNAcentral's name for it is "long non-coding RNA (GBAR_LNC009001)". Lineage: Eukaryota; Viridiplantae; Streptophyta; Magnoliopsida; Malvales; Malvaceae. The record is from RNAcentral.